GUGCAGUGGGGGAUCUGAGAAUCAUUAUAUUUCUGUCUGAAUUCUUCUUUGUCUUGUUAGUGCUGAUUUUACACAUCUUUUCACCCUGGAUUCCCAUAAGAAAAGGGUCUCAAAUGGGUUCUCAGACUGCUGCAGGAGCUCAUGAAAUGAAACCUCUUUCUGCACAUGAUUCUUUAAUCCCACAAACAUGAGAGAAACAACUAUUACCACAGUGAUCCCACUGACUGUAUGAACCUUUGAAGAUAAAAUUCUCAUGAGCUGAGAAUGAAGAUGGUUUGGUAUUGUGUACUGUCAUGCUGUAAAAAGAGAACAGGGGCAGUUUUUUGCCUUUAUUAGUGAGGACAUUAGAGAUAAACAGAAAAAUGGAGGAUGACAAAGGAUUGGGAGGAAUGGGAUUGGACAUGACCACAGCGGAUUCAAACUAGGAUUCUUUUCUUUUUCUUCUUUUUUUCCUUUGUUACAUUAUAUUUAUUGUAGAGUCUCUUUAUGUGUUGUGAGAAUGCAUGUAACCGGUGGUUUGCGUUGACAAGCGUAAGCGUGUAGAUUUGUGGAGUUAGCGAAACUGAUACCUGCUGUCCGGUGUCUAUCUUUUAUUCCCAAUACAAAAGAGCAAAUAAGCAGCCUCUUUGAGUGUGAAUCACCCUUGUUUUCUCUCCCAUUUAGUUAUAAUGCAAAAGGGCAAAUCACAGUAUACAGGAAAAUAGUGAACAGAAAACCAUGCCUGAUACAAAAGAACAAAUAAGCAGUCUCUUUAAGUGUGAAUUGUCCUUGUUUUCAGGAAAAUAUACACAAAACUUAACUUAAAAAAAGUAAAAUGAAAAAAAUAAUCACAGUAAAAUAACAUUAUACACAUAAAUUGGGUUGAAAAUAUAGACAUAAAAGCAAUAUUUACAAUAAAGAUUAUCAAAAACCAAAACGAAACCUACCUGCGUCGUAACUUUGCAGAUGUUGUUUAUGCUCAAACAGCAAAAUUAUUUUAUUUUAAAGAAUUCUCAGUUUAAGGACUACAACAAAUGAUUGGUAGCUUCUUCCUGGGUUAGUGACACCAUUAACCCUAAAAUUCACAUAAACCUUGCCGCAACAAGAACAAGAACUCACAACAAAGGGGAUGAGGCCAUGUAGGGCUGUUAAAGCUCCACCCUCUUCUGGAAAGGGGGC
Long non-coding RNA from Megalobrama amblycephala (Wuchang bream), 1158 nucleotides. RefSeq lists it as uncharacterized. NCBI's taxonomy places the organism in Eukaryota, Metazoa, Chordata, Actinopteri, Cypriniformes, Xenocyprididae. The transcript has 3 exons. The record is from RefSeq and is a predicted model, not a curated record.